This 253-nucleotide ribosomal RNA is filed under the name uncultured bacterium. Its description in RNAcentral is "partial 16S ribosomal RNA". It matches the Rfam family "Bacterial small subunit ribosomal RNA", at positions 524 to 776 of the family's 1533-position model. The record is from RNAcentral.
UACAGAGGGGGCAAGCGUUAUUCGGAAUUAUUGGGCGUAAAGGACGCGUAGGCGGCCUGGCAAGUGGAAGGUGAAAUCCCUCGGCUUAACCGAGGAACUGCCCUCCAAACUGCUUGGCUUGAGUCCGGGAGAGGUGAGUGGAAUUCCCAGUGUAGCGGUGAAAUGCGUAGAUAUUGGGAGGAACACCAGUGGCGAAGGCGGCUCACUGGACCGGAACUGACGCUGAGGCGCGAAAGCGUGGGGAGCAAACGGG